AUUCUCAGCAGGAGGGUGACCAGGGUUGUGACCAUAAUGUGGUGGCUUCUCUCCCUUAGGUGGUUUGCCAACUGGGGUUGGUGGCUUGUUUUCUGGGAGUGGCUUCUCUCCCUUGGGUGGUUUGCCAACUGGGGUUGGUGGCUUGUGUUCUGGGAGUGGCUUCUCCCCCUUGGGAGGUUUUUCGAAUGGGGUGGGUUUGUGUCCUGGUGGUGGCUUCUCUCCCUUGGGAGGUUUACCAAUUGGGGUCGGUGGCUUGUGUUCUGGGAGGGGCUUCUCUCCCUGGGGAGGUUUAGUGGGUGGCUUGUGUUCUGGAGGUGGCUUCUCCACCGGAGGCUUAUGCUCUGGUGGUGGCUUCUCGAAGGGGGGAUGCUCAGGGUAAUCACCAAGUGAGGGGGUGGUGAGAACCACCAUGCCAAGCAACAACACUAGCAAGUAUGUAGUAGACAUCUUUGGGUUUGGACUCAGACAGUGCAAAACUACGAGAAAUCGCUAGCCCUUUAUAGCGGCUCGGACCUAAUACUGACAUAAUAUAAAAUAAAUAUUAUAUUUUAUCAAGAGAGAACAGAGUGUAAUUUUAUCAUUAAUACCGAUCGAGGCCAAAGAAAGAAGACCCAUAAUCCAUUUCCCACAAGCAUACACAAUGCAGCUGUAAUUUUAUCAUUUACUUUUAUCCCUUGGACCACUGCAUUUUUGUUGAGAGACACAAUAACACAUUUUUAUCUGUCAUUCAACAUUUACAGUAAAGAGAGGGCACAAAACGCAAUUAGAUAAAUUAUGUUUUGCCUGCUAAAAAGAGGCAAAUAACUUUAUUUGCAACAUAAUUAUUUUGGUUUCUAGUGACCCCGGGGCCUUUCGGUUGGUUUGGGAUCGGAAAAUGAACAUCAUAGGGGGGGUUGUGCCCUUAUGGGCAUAUAUAUCUGAUAGCUUCAACUGGCCUUGUUCCUAGAAAGAAAUUGCCAAAGAUAUAAACUUAUUCCAGGCUGAAAGUAGAUGAGAGUCAUAAUGAACAUCAACCUUUGUUCAGUUUGAUUCAAUGCCCCCAUAGUGUUCAUUUCACAGAUCUGAAUGAUUAUAUCCGUUGAAUACAUAAAUUAAUGAAGACAAAUAUGAAACCCAAGAUACAUCUCUGCAUAACAACCCCAACCCUGGUUGCUAUGUUUCCCUUCUUCUAUUCACAUGAGGAUACUGGUUAUAAUUGUCAAACUUGCAACAAGCCCUUUGACACCUAACGUCAAUGGACGAAUUAAAAGUCUCCUUCAAACGUCUAUUUCACAGCAUGAAGCUUAUAAAGGAUGCUGACAACCUUCAGAGUUAGCGACAAAAGAUAAUUAUCAAGGAGAGAUAGUUCCAUGAGAAUUCCAAGGAGUCUGAAUCAAAGACAAAUUGCUCACUCAAGGGUUCUUAUUUUCUUUUAGGUACAAAUCUCUUGAGUGUUGUUAAAGAAACACGUCACUGUCAUUUUGAUUUGCAUUUAACAUUUCACUUUUGUUCUGGAAGGUUUGUUCCGGAAACAUAUCAAAUGAGCAUCAUUUUCUUCUUCGGUGACACAUGGUCGCGAGUACGUGGGUCCAUUUUCAUGCCACUUAGUUGAAAAGUUGGAAAGAAAAAACAUGCCAACAAGAAGAUAGUGAGAGAAGGGGCACUUCAAGCCUUUAACAUGAACAAACAGUAAAUAAAAGAUGUUUCUCCACUCAUAAAAGUGUGUUAGAUAGCAAUAUAACGAAUCACAUCCAAAAUCUUUACUAGGCUCAAACAUAAAGAAGACUCAUUUUUAAGAAAAGAUAAAAAUGGCAUUGUCUGAUAGUAUCCAAUACACGAGAUGGCACUUAAUUUGUACAAGAUCUGUCAAUGCUGACGCACAUUUUCUGAUUAAAAAAAAACUGAUCAGUCAAAAGCAAUGAAGAGAAGUGAUGACAAUGAAUGAUGCUUCCAAUAUUUUCACCCCUUAUAGUGUUCUUCAUGAUUCAGAUAUAUAAUUGGAAAUAGAACAACCCUAUGCCAUACAUUCGUCUAAGUAUGGUGUCUAAUUUUUUGUGUCAGCGGUUGCGAAUGGAGCGUGCAAAAGUCCAAAUUGGCGUCUCUCCAUUUCCACAUAGGAAGGUGACCUUUAUUGACAAAUACCCAAUAUUUGUAGACAUUCCUUAAAUAUCAUAACUUCUUGUUGAUUUGAAAAUCAUUUUUCAACUACCAUGUUUUAAUAAAUAUUUUUUAAAAUGUAUUUUUAUCAAAGUCCACCAUGAUGGAUAAUAUUCACCAUGCAAUAAUUAAUAAAGUACAAACUAAGCGAAAUGAAAAGCAUUUUCUUUGCUUUGAGUUGAUUUUGGUUGCAUUGAGUUGAUUUUGGUUUCAUGGUUUUUUCAACUCUUAUUUUGAUUGGAAGAUGUCAAGAAAAGAAAACAUAAAGAAAAAUUAAAAGGGAAAAAAGAAGAAAAAUAAAAAAAAAUAGAUUUAAAAGUUAAUAAAUUAUUUUUUAUAUUUAUUUUAAUUCAUUUCACUUAUUUUUCUUUUACUAUAUAAAAUUUAAAUAAUUUAAAUUUUAUAAUUAAUUUAAUUACAUUUCAUUUUCUUCUAUAUUUAAAUAUUGGAAAAAUAUUUUACUUAAUAUUUUUUUCUUUAAUUUCUUUGGCAUUUUGGGAACCAAACUUAGCCUUUAAAAUAAAAAACAAAAAAAAAAUGAAAAUAAGGAGGGAAAAGUGAGAAAAGAUAAAAACAAUAUGUAAAGGAUUUGAAAAGUAUUAGUUUGUAAUUACUAUUUGGAUUUCAAUAGUAUUUUAUUUGUCUUUCUAUAUUUCAUGUAAGAGAGAAUUUAAGAUAUUCCCCAAGGCAAAGCAUUAGUUACCUGCAAUCAGUGGUGAUAAGGCUCCAAGCCAAUUUUGGGCCCCAUAUCUUAAGACAGUACAAUUUCCAUUUCAACAUUUCUGAUUUCUCAGAUGUUUCACAUACCACAGAAGAACAUUGUUUGUGAAAAUAUGCAUUUAUGUUGGAUUUUGUAUGCUGUGGGGACUGGGGCAAGGAUCAUAUGGAAGAGUGGUUGACUUUUUCUGUACUUUAACGGUUGAAAUAGGAUAAGCACGGGCAUUUGUGAGGCUUAAUUGAUUUUGAAGCCUGAAAUUGCGUUUCUGUCAUUUUGUCAAAAAAAUGGCAGAUUCCAUACUCAUAUGUUUGGCCUGUGGCCAUGUACAGAUGCCAUUUAGUGACCAGUUUGUAACUGUCAAUCGUUGCGUUUUGACUCUGCCUCAACAACAUCUGCCAUUGACGGGUUUUCAUACUUGCAAAUCAAAUAGUCUUUCGUCCCAUCAGGAAUUUCGGUUUAAAUAUUAUUAAGCAUACGUUUGGCUGACAAUCAUUAUCCAGUUCAUGAUUUGGUUUCUUACCCUUAAUCAAUGGUUUCUAAGUGAAUAUAUGUAGAAGGAAAUCCGAAGUGUAGACAGUAGUAUCGAUAACUCUCAAUAUUCUCUAUAUAAUAGAAUAAACAGCGUCAUAGUGAUCGUCGCCUACAAGCAAGGUACAAAUACCAAAACGAGUGACUCACAUAGACAUCUCCCAACAAGAUGUAGUAGUGACUGACACAUGGACACAAUUAACUCGUAGAAAAGGAUAAGACCAUUGCACAGCAGCUCUUAUUUUACAUACUACUUAUGCUAACCAAAGUCAAUUAGUUGGGAUGGGUGGGAGAUGGAGGUUUGUGCGGUGGCUUGUGGGGCGGAGUUGAUGGCUUCUUUCCAGGAGCUUCUGGCUUUUUCAUCGGAGCUGAAGGAGGCUCAAUCUUAUGAGGCGGCUUGUAUGAGUCUUCUUUACUCUCGACAGGAGGGUGGCCAGGGUUGUGAUCAUAAUGUGGUGGCUUCUCUCCCUUAGGUGGCUUGCCAACUGGGGUUGGUGGCUUGUGUUCAGGAAGUGGUUUCUCUCCCAUGGGAGGUUUAGCAAUUGGGGUUGGUGGCUUGUGUUCUGGGAGUGGCUUCUCUCCCUUGGGAGGUUUAGUAGGUGACUUGUGUUCUGGAGGUGGCUUCUCCACCGGAGGCUUGUGCUCCGGUGGUGGCUUCUUGGUUGGAGGGGGCUUGGGGUAAUCAGCAAGAGAUGGGGUGGUGAGAACCACCAGUCCAAGGAACAACACUAGCAAGUAUGUGGGAGACAUUUUUGAGUUUGGGCUGAUCAGAUGAUGCAAAACUAAAGCAUUACGUGACCUUUUAUAGCAUGUAGCUCCCAAUACCCACUAAGUAUUGUGGGGUCCAUUUGUGCCCUACGGGGUUGAAAACUUAGACAAUUGGGCAAGGACCCACCUGACUAUGGAGGACUAGUGAGGUGUGAUCAUAGCUUUAGGAUUUUUCUUCCUCUGCAGCCGUCGUGCCGUUGGCAUGAUUUUCUUAAUCUUAAAUAAAGGCAUAGUUAUAGAGUUGUUUAAUCUCUAAAUGGGAUUUUAUAUAUAUCUUCAGAUAGCCAUUAAUAUAUUUGAUGAAGAAAGAAAGACAAGUGCAUACAACAUGUAUACGACUAGCUUUCAUGGAGUUCAUUUAUGAUCAGUUUUCCUGUACAUGUAAACCAGGAUCAUAUAUAUGUUUCUGUUCCACAACUAUUUUGGAAUCUUGUUUAUCAGUUUUUAUCAUUAUAAUGUCACAUAGGCUGCCAACUUGGGCGCUAAAAGAACCAGUUGGGCUAGUUCGUUUCAGAAUUUCAAUGUGGAUUCAGGAAUUGUUUUGUAAGAUAUGCGAAAUAGUAGAGGGAUGAAUAGUGUUUCAUUAAUAAAAGUGUCCUGUAAAUUAGAAGGUGUCAUAGAAACUAUAAUCAAUAAAUAACUUUUUUUCCCCACGGGUGGUGUUUCUUGUGGGGAUCAGUGACUGGUUUAGGUUCACCCAAAAUGAGUUCAGACUAAAAUUGGUUUGAGUCAAUGCCGUGUCUCUUUUUUCCAGAAAUCAACUAUUUUAUGCAUUGAAUAAAUCAUACAAAGAAAAUAUGAACGCCCGCAAAACCUAAACCCUGGUUGCUAACUUUCUAUGUUUCAGUUCUAUUCACGCAAGAAUAUUAGUUUAAGUUUGGGAAAAAUGGCAACUUACCUAGUGAUUACUUGGUUUUGGUUUGCGACUAUUUACGCAACCAACCAUGAGUUUGACUUUAACGUCAUGGGUUGAAGCCUCCUACAGGAAGGGAGAAAGCUCCACAGCUAGCUCCAAAAGAGAAUUAUCACAUUGAUAGCUCCAGAGAUUCCCAAGGGGACUGAAUCAAAGACAAGUUCCUCACUUUUUCUUCUUUUGAGGCCAAAUAUGAACCAAGGAUCACACAACCUCAUUCAACUUCAUAAGUUUGAUUUCAUGCAGUUGAACACUGGGUGAAGGCCAUGACAAGAAUUGAUUCAAAAAUUCUAUCACUCUUUUAAGUAAUGGAAGAUUAUUAUCUCUGAUUGGCAUCACAACAGCACAUGCUCCUAGAUCUUUCUAGACACUCCAUGCAAUGAAAGCACAAUGGAUCUUGUAACGAUAGAAACUAAGCCAUGCUACAGUACUAGAUGAUGAGGUAAAACUAGUAGACACGGGUGGCAGCCUAUAUGGGAGGGACACAAGUCUAAUUGAUUUGCAUUUCAGCAUUAUAGAUAGGUAUGUUUUGGAAGAUUUGUUCUGGAAAUACCGCACCAAGUAGGAUUCUUUUUCUCUUUAGUGGGUCCACUUGCAUGCCAAUUAACGAGUUGAAAAGUAUGAGCACCUACCUCGUGCUCGUGGAACCGAAGGUCAGUGAAGUGGGGCUCCUUUUGGCCUCGUGUAAACUUGAUUCAGAAGUGAAGUUAAUAGUCUUCCAUUCAGAUGGAUACAUGGGAAUUUUUCUCUUUUAUUUAUUUAUUUAUUUUUUUUUUGUGUGUGUAUGUCAAAGGAUAAUGAAUGAAGCGCGUUAGCUUGUUUUCUGACUGGAACCGCAGAUGUCCAAAUUGGAGUUCCUUCAUUUCUUACUUAGGAUUGUUACAUGUAUAAACAAGGUAUAAGAAAUAUGCCAACGUGUCUUGAGGAGUUAUUGAUUAGAAAUAACAAGUCACCCGACUGUAGAGUUCCAAGAUUUGAAUCUUCAGACCCUAUAGCAGCCUCUGGGGUACGUGGCAUCCUAUAGCAUAUUAAUGAAGGCUUUUUCGAUUUAGACUUCACAAUACCAAUUAAUAUGUAUGCACAAAAUGGAGAUGACCCCAAAAAAAACAGAAUCGCCAUAGUUUAUGAGGUUAAGGUGAUUCUCCACUUAAUAUCUACAUUAGCUAAUUAUGUAAAUCAAAUGAACUUCUAUUUUUCCUUUUUUUUUUUGGUUUAUGUCAAAUAGUAGCCCAUAAUUAACCCAACCAUUAGCCUGUUUGAAUUGAUUUCACAUGCACAAUGUUGUAGUAGUUCAUAUUUUGAAUUUUAUUUUUACAAAGGUAGUUAAGGAAAAUGAAGUAUAAUAAUUAUAAAAGCAGACUAUAUACACUACAAUAAUUGUUAGAAUGGUAUCUCAAAUUCUAAUUUAAAAUAUUAUUUUUUGUAAAAGAAAUAUUAUAUAGAAUAUUUCCUAAUUUUAUAAAUGAUUAUAAUUAGAUCUUUAUAAAAUAAGGAAAGUUGGUAAGAAUAUCUUUAUAAAUAUUUUAGGUCAUGAGAGAAAGAAAUGGGAUAAAAAUGUGAUGAAGAGGUGAAAUAAGAGAGUUGAUUAGGAUAUAGAUGUGAAGAAGAAAGGGAUUCAAUAUAUAUAUAUCUUUCAAUUACCACAUUAAAACCCUGUGAACCUUUUAUAUGGUUUACUUUAUUUUUAUAUUCCUCCUUUAAUAUAUUUACAUUAAUGCUUCCAUUGGCACAACAAUAACGAAUUACAAAUACAAGCAACAAGUCCCAUGUUUUAUUACCAAAAGCAGGUAAAAUCCACCUAAUAUAUUACAAUAUAUUCAUCCAAUAUUUUAGACCAAUUCUUCACCAUAAAUAUCAUAAUGUGGCUUUUGUUCUUUCUUAAAUUUAAAUUGAAUUGUCUUAUAUCAAUUUGUUUGUGAUUUUUUCAUUAACUUCACUUUCAUUUGGUUAUCUUUGGUUUUUGAAAAGUAUUAAGGAAUUAAUUAACAAAAUAAUGUUAAGAAAAAUAAUUUUCUCUCUUUUGAUUUUGAUUUUGUAGUAGAAAAAUAUAAUUAAAAUUAUUUAAAAAGUAUGUAAUUUUAAAUUAUUUAAUAUUUAGAUAAAAAAAAUAAGUCUAAUGAGUUUAAAAUAACAUAUAAAAAUAAUUUAUUUAUUUUAAAUUUAUUUUUUAUUUUCCAUUAUGUUCUCUUUCUCUUUUACUUUUUCAUAUUUUUUCUUACGAAGAAUCAAACACAACCUCAUAUUAUAUGUCAAGUGUUUGUCUAUAUUUGAGCAAUGUUAGAUACGGCCAUGGAUUCAUCAAACUAAACUGAUUUUAAUAGAUACUUCACAAAUUGAUUUAUACACUAAAUCAUUGGAUAGCAAUGAUGCAUUGGAAUUAAACGUAGGAUGAAGCUCGAAGAACACUGUUUGUGUAACAACAUAUUUAUGAAAUUAUGCAAAGGAUGAGCUUCGGGGUAGUAGUACAAGGUCAUUAAUGGAGAGCCGUGUUAAACCUUGAUUGUGAUUGGAUUCCGUUAUCAGCAACAGCAACCUUGUUUGUAACCUUGAAAGUCAUUCUGUCCACAUCGAAACUCCAAUUUGACGUUUGUAAUUACCAUUCCUGGAGUGUUCCUUGAUUGAAAUUUAAAUAAUAAUUGCGGCCCACAAGGAAUAUUUUCGAUUCUGUGGGAAUUUGACAAGGUUUGUUAGAGAAGACUGGUGACAUGUUGACUUCAAUGGUUCAAAUAGGAGACGUAUGUGGAUUUGGGGGGUUUAAUUGAAACUGAGUCCCUAUGGCUUUUUAAUAUUUGCAUUGAGCAGUCUCCAUGUGACUUCCUAAUUCCCACCAACCCUCCUGUCCAUGCUGUGAAACUAAAUUGUAAUUUAUCAGCCUUUGUCAAUGGUUUCUAAAUUAAAGAUAUAGACCAUGCAUGUACUUUAAUAAAAGCAAAUCUAAAGUGUAGAUAGCAGCAAUGGUGACACCCAAUAUUCUCCAUAAAAUAGAAUUAGAAUAAGCAGUGUUACAUUGUUCAUGAUCACCUACAAGCAUACAAGAACUUCCAUGAAUAACUCAUAGCAAUUGCCAACAGGGCGUCGUAGAGACUCAUACAUAGAACACUAUCCACCCAGAGGAAAGGACAAGACCAGUGCGCUGCAGCUCUUAUUUUUCACAUGUAUACCACCACUCGUAAUAACCAAAUUCACUCAGUUGGGAUAGGUGGGAGAUGGUGGUUUGUGGGGUGGCUUGUGGGGAGGAGUUGGAGGAGGCUUUAUUUUCUGAGGCGGCUUGUAUGAGUGUGCAGGAGGAUGCCCGGGAGUGUGACCAUAAUGUGGUGGCUUCUCUCCCGUAGGUGGUUUGCCAAAUGGGCUUGGUGGCUUCUCUCCCUUAGGAGGUUUACCAAUUGGGGUUGGUGGCUUGUGUUCUGGGAGUGGUUUCUCUCCCUUGGUAGGUUUGCCAAUUGGGGUUGGCGGCUUAUGUUCUGGGAGUGGCUUCUCUCCCUUGGGAGGUUUGCUAAUUGGGGUUGGCGGCUUAUGUUCUGGGGGCGGCUUCUCUCCCUUGGGAGGUUUGCCAAUUGGAGUUGGCGGCUUAUGUUCUGGGAGUGGCUUUUCUCCCUUGGGAGGCUUGCCAAUUGGGGUUGGCGGCUUAUGUUCUGGGGGUGGCUUCUCUCCUUUAGGAGGUUUGCCAAUUGGAGUCGGCGGCUUAUGUUCUGGAAGUGGCUUUUUUCCCUUGGGAGGUUUGCCAAUUGGGGUUGGCGGCUUAUGUUCUGGGGGUGGCUUCUCUCCCUUGGGAGGUUUGCCAAUUGGAGUCGGCGGCUUAUGUUCUGGGAGUGGCUUCUCUCCCUUGGGAGGUUUUGUUGGUGGCUUGUGUUCUGGAGAUGGCUUCUCCCCUGGAGGCUUGUGCUCCGGAGGUGGCUUCUGAAAUGGCGGGGGCUUGGGGUAAUGAGCAAGAGAUGGAGUACUGGUGAGAACCACCAUUCCAAGCAACAAUACUAGCAAGCAUGUGGGAGACAUCUUUGAGUAGUUGUAGCUAAGAUGGCGCAACACUGUAGGCAUUGGGUGGCCUUUUAUAAAGGGCUGGACCCAACAGCCAUAUGACACGUGUCAUGAUGACAAAUGAAGUUGAGGGGAUCCAGAUGGGUCCUACUGAGUCGAAAACUUGCACUAAUUGAUCUGGUGAGAUGACUAUUUCUGUCCUUUUGCCCUUCUCGGCCACCCUGUGCUGUUUUCCUUUUGCACGAUUUUCGUUGCCAAACAAGCAAAUAAUAUUUCGCCAAGAAAGAGGAGAGUGAAUGUGGAAUGCAUCAAGUCCCAUCAAGGAUGGCAGAGAAGAAAUAGAAGAUUGCCCAACUGUGAUAAACAUAGCAUACACGUAGCACCAGGAACUUCAUUUACUUCCAUCUAAUGGAACAUAACAAUCUUCUAAAGUUUUUGCAUGAUUUUGUUAUAUGUCUCUUAGCCUAAAGUUGGAAAUGCGCAACAAAUUUUGUCACUUCUCUAUUUCCCACUGAUGAUGUUAAUUAGCCUUCAUAGAUAUCAUCCUUUCUACAAAGUGCUUCAUUUGUGUGUUAUUGUAAAGUGUAAGAAAAGUAAUUGAACAUGUUCUUUUUCCUUUCAUAGAUGACUUUUGAUGUGCAUUUUAAAAGCAGCGCUGUGAGUCGGUGACCUUGAUUCACACGGAAACUAAGGCUCCUAUAGGACCCACUUUUAGCUGGUUAGGGGUGAAGAAAAUAUCAACUUUUCAGAGUGAUUUAAGUCAAGGCCAAGCCUCACUGUGUCAUUACUCGUGUGAAUUUUAUAUGCACAUACAUACAUAAAUAAAGUAUGAGACCCAAAUAACACCUUCCCUUUACAAACUUAACCCCAGCCGCUCUCUUUCAAUUCUUUUCACACAAGGGUAUUGACUCUAUAAAGGUCAAGAAAAUCAUAAUUUCCUAGGGUUUACAAGGUAAUUGGCUUAAUGCUAAUGUGAAAACAUAAAAGAUAAUAGUAUAUUGUAAGCUAACGAAUAUUCUAUAGUUAUAAUUAUUUGUGAUGUGCAUAAAUAAAUCUUCAUAUAUAUAAUGGAACAAUGAAUAAAGAACCAAUGAAAAAAUACUAUAUAUCAUUGCUUGGCAUUUAAACCGUAUAUGCUGCUCUUUCUAGCUACUCCAUCCACUGAAAGACAACAAGGUAAUCCAUGUUAUAAUGAUAGAAGAUACUGUCUCUAGGCUUUUUGUGAUGAAAAAUAUAAGAUAUGGGUAGGGUUGACCCUUGUAUGUUUGUCCUAUAAACACUUCAAAGUAACAUAUUUUUCUUCUUUAGCAACUCAUAAUGAUGGGGUUCAUUUGCAUGUCACUGAGUUGAAAAGUUGGACAAUUGCCCAUGUCGCCUUCCUCCUAGAUUCCGUAGUUCACGGGAAGGUAACUCAAGUUUGACAUAUUUUGAAUUCUUUUCACUCGGACGUCUUCAUAACCUGACAAAACAAAAAUGAAAAACAGAGGAUUGGUAUAUUAUUCAUGGUAAGCCUCAAAUUAUAGUAGUAUGAGAAAGGAGAAAAAGAUUUUGGGAACUCCAAUCUGGAUAAUUCUCGUUUCUUCUCUUGAAUAAAAAUUUCACUUACCUAACUUCGUUUGGAGAAAUGGCAUAUUUUAAUUUUGUACGUCAUUGCUAAUAAAUGGAGCAAUUUAGCAUGUUUUGUGACUGAAACUGCAAAUGUCCAAUUGGCAUUUCUUCAUUUCCCACUUAGGAUCUGAUCUUGUAGACCAUAUAACGAUAUGUAUCUGUGCAAGCAUUGAAAACUAAUGUGAACUAUGAGGAGUUACAAGCCACUGGACUGUAGAGCGAGUGCCAAGAUUUAAAUCUUCAGGCUCUAUCUGGGUAAGGGGAGGAUAGCGACCUAACCUUUUACCAAAGGCUUAGAAUUUAGACUUUUGGAAAAAAAUUUCUCAUGUUUUGGCUGGAUUUCUUGUGCUUGGCGCAAAAAGGAGAUGGCCUCAAGAAAUAGCAGACUCACUUUUGUUUUCAGCCCUUAAUAAUUCUCCACUGCUUUCCAUAACUACAUGGGUUAUACAUGCAGUCUGCUGCAAUAUUCCAGUUAUAUUUAUUAUUUCAAAGAGGGUGAAUGACUUCACAUGCAAUAUGUUGCAGUAACAACCCAAAUUUUGGCACACCAUCUUAAGAAUAGAAAAGUAUAAUAAAAGAAAUCAAUCAGAGAAUCACUUUGCAUGCAGUUCAUAGAGUUCGCCCAAAAUGGAGCCACAUGUACGGACAACCCCACAAUAGACAAUCUUCUCUAUACAGUAAUAAAAUACAGAAAUGGUUAAUGAAGCUCUGUAUUUCCUUAUCAUAUAUGACCGGUUGAAAACUCAGCAAGUCUUCCUCAAUCACAGACAGUUGGAGUUGCUUCAUCAAAAUCAUGCCUUCAUUACUGGCUUCAUUUUGGUUUCAAUGUCUGUUCUACCCUUAAAUUGGGUCUCUGCUUACUACCGGGAUAUCCUUUAGCGUCCUGCAAUUCUACUAGAUUAAAGAGAAUGACUUAAUUCUGCAUUCUGCCGUCCCUAGUCCAAGUGGUACUAGAAUUGAUGUUUCCUUUAGUGUCCUUUCUUCAUACUUUCAGGUUCUUCCCUUGUUUCAAUAAUGCUGUUUUCCUUCAUGUUUAACCUCUGUUGAACCACUUAAAACAACACAAUUUGCACACCAAUGUUUCUUUACAGAAAAGACUGUUUGCAAAAAUGCACAUGUUAUAAGGUUAAUGGAAGAAUUAAUUUGGGGAUAAGGGACUAGGAUUGGGCCAAUGAAGUUUGGUGUUAAAUUUUGAUUAUGAUUGCUUUUCAUUAUCAGGUACCUUAUAUUUGCUGAUGCUAUCUGGAACUAAAUUCAAAUCAGACAUUAUCCGAUUACUAACAGGACAUAUCAUGUCCCUCUGCAGAGUUUCUAAACUAACAUGUAUCGAAAUGUGGCCCCAAAAGGAAGGCUAGGAAGAUGGAGGAUUUUGUAGGAAUCGACCAGAAUCAGAUGGAAGAGAGAUAGUCCUGUUGACUUUAAUGGUUGUGAUAGGAACAUGCAUCAUUAUAUGAGAAGUUGCAUGAAUUUAUGUAUCCUGUUAUCGUUCCUUGACGAUUUCCCAAUGCAAUUUCACUGUCCACAAGACUAACCUCUCCAUGCAGUCAAAUGAAUUGUAAUUUCUCUAUUGGUACCAGUAGUACAUUUCAUACCAAACAUAUAGUAAAUAUAAAAUAUAAAUAGAUCAAGGAAAUCUGAAUUGUAGAUAGCACUGCAAGUAACACUCAAUAUUCUCUAUAUAUAAUAAAAUAAACAGUGUCACAAUACUCAUCACCCAGUGGCAAGGGAGAAAAACCUACAAUGAGUACUCAAAUCACCAUUCUCAAACAGAAACAUAGCAGUGACUGAUACAUAGAACCUAUAUGCUCACAGGGAAAGAAUAAGAUGACCAGUGCACAGCGGGCAGCAGCUCUUAUUUUACGUACAACUCAAAUCCCAAACUAACCAAAGUCGCUCAGUUGGGAUGGGUGGGAGAUGGUGGUUUGUGGGAUGGCUUCUGGGUAGGAGCUGGUGGCUUCUGUCCCUUUGGUGGUUUGCCUAAUGAGCUUGGUGGCUUGUGCUCCGGGAGUUGUUUCUCUCCCUCGAGUAGGUUUCGAGUCUUGUCAGAUGGCUUGUGUUCUGGUGGUGGCUUCUCUCCCUGGGGUGGUUUGCCGAAUGGGCUUGGUGGCUUGUGUUCGGGGAGUGGCUUCUCUCCCUGGAGAAGGUUACGAGUUUUGUCAUAUGGCUUUUGUUCUGGUGGUGGCUUCUCUCCCUGGGGUGGUUUGCCGAAUGGGCUUGGUGGCUUGUGUUCGGGGAGUGGCUUCUCUCCCUGGAGAAGGUUACGAGUUUUGUCAGAUGGCUUGUGUUCUGGUGGUGGCUUCUCUCCCUGGGGUGGUUUGCCGAAUGGGCUUGGUGGCUUGUGUUCGGGGAGUGGCUUCUCUCCCUGGAGAAGGUUACGAGUUUUGUCAGAUGGCUUUUGUUCUGGUGGCGGCUUCUCUCCCUGGGGUGGUUUGCCAAAUGGGCUUGGUGGCUUGUGUUCGGGAACUGGCUUCUCUCCCUUGGGAGGUUCAGUUGGUGGCUGCUGUUCCGUAGGUGGUUUCUUCACCGGCGGCUUGUGCUCCGGAAGCGGCUUCUCUACCUGGAGAAGCUUACGAGUUUUGUCCGAUGGCUUGUGUUGUGGUGGUGGCUUCUCUCCCUGGGGUGGUUUGCCAAAUGGAGUUGGUGGCUUGUGUUCGGGGAGUGGCUUCUCUCCAUUGGGAGGUUUAGUUGGUGAUUGGUGUUCCGUAGGUGGUUUCUGAAGUGGGGGAUGCUUGGGGUAGUCAGCAAGAGACGAGGUAGUGAGAACCACCAGUCCCAGCAGCAACACUAGCAAGCAUGUGGAAGACAUCUUUGAGUUCAGGCUGAGAUCUGUGCAAGGAUAACAGAAUUAGGUGGCCUUUUAUAGAGGCCUGGACCCAACACCCAUAUGACACGUGUCAUGCACUCAUGGUGACACAUAAUUCUAUGGGACCAUUUGGGUCCUACAGAAGUUGCAAAGUUGGACUACUGAGGUGUGAUCACAACUUUUGUCCUUAUUGCUUUCUCUGCGGCCAUUGCACGAUUUCCUUUAGCAUCAUUUUCUUGGCUAAAUAAGCGUAUUAUAUUUGUGGCAGACCGUCCACGUGUCAUAAACAGAUAUAUUAUAAUAAUGUAGUAUGCUUUUCUCCAAUGGAACAUGACACUCUUCUAAGUCUUGUUUUAAAUAUUGUGCAGGAUUACUUUAUACGUUGCAGUUCCAAGUCAAAAUUGGUGGGCAAACGUUGGCCUUUUUUCAUUUCACCUAAGAUUAAUGCUCACCUGGGAUAGGCACUACAUGACUUAUCUGCUCUUUUACUGUAAAGUUGCUUUGUGUAUGAGAUACACCUCCCCUGCACACCCUCAACAUUCGUUGCUCUGUUUUCCUUGUGUCCAGACGAGGAUAUUAAUUGGAGGCUGACAAAACGACUGCUAGCCCAGGAUUUACAAGGUCCUGGUUUGAGGCUUCGGUGAAAGUAUUUUUGAAAAGACACACAUAGAGAUAGUGCGUUUGGUGCAAUGCAGCACUGUGAGCCAUUCUGACGCGUUCUUAAUUUCAAAACUAAUGAAUGCUUCAAAAUUUUAAGAAGUGACAUUUCCAAAUAUUUGAGUUCGUUUAAUUGAACAUUGGAUAACUAGUGAUCAUAGAUUAUUAUCUGUGCUUGGCACUAUAAGAGGGUAUAUGCUUCUUUUUCUGGCCCCUCCUUCAAGGGAGGAGGGACAAUGUGAUCUGUAACGUUAGAAGCUAUUCCAUGUCAUCUUUGGGCUCAGUUCAAAACUAAAAGAUAAUGGGGGGGGGGGGGGGGGGCAUAUCAUUUUAUAUUUCUUCUAGAAGGUUUGUUCUGGAAAUAUUUCACAGGAGCAUAUCUUUUUCUUCUAUUACGUCAUCCGCAGCCUCCAAUAGGUCGGUUAACAAGCCACCGAGUUGAAAAGUUGGAAAAAUGGGAACACAGCCCGCCUCUUGUAUUCAGUAGUUAAAUAAAAGGUCACUAGAAGUGAGAUCCCUUUUGGCGUCUUGAUUUUCAAUCCAGCACCUCUGUGACCUGACAAACCAAAAAAACUAAAAAAUAAAAAACAGUACGUGGGUUGGUGUUAAGCAUCAAGACAUGUUAAUGAAAGAAGGUAGAGAAUAGGAUAUUGAAAUCCCAAUCCUGAUAACAUGAUUUUCUUUGCUAACAACCAUAUUAUAUUUUAUCAAGAAAGAGUAAUGCAUGUGGCGUCCAUCAAGACCCAUUAGAGUUCCGCUAAAGCUAUAGUUCUGUCAACGUUAUCAUUUACGUUUCCUCUAGAUAAUGGCAUUUUCCUCUAAAGCUCUUGCACCAUUAGGCUUCAAGUCAAAAUUUCACAUGUGAACUUUGGAAAUUUUCUCCAUUUGCCCCUAAGGAUACAGUUAGAAUUGACUUAAAAUCCUGAUUGAUAUGUACUAUUAACCAAAGAAUAUUGUAUAUAAUAAUUGAAAUAUUGUUGAUUCAUCGUGGAAAUACAUUUUGUAAGGAAAGUUGUUGAGAAUUUAGUAUGCUAUAUGGAGAAAAAAGUCAUGACUUAAGGUUGUGUAUGUAUAUUCUAUAUCAAAUAUUAGGUAGGAAUGUGGGAAAGAGCAGAGUGUAAUGAUAAGAAACAAAGAAAUAUAAGAUAUUCUUGAAAGUGGAAAAUAUAAAAUGGCUAACGAGUCAAAUUUAUGAUGCGUAAGGGGGAUCAUGUCACAUAAGAAAACCAUGGCAUACUAAAGACGUACGUGUGGUAUGGAGUAAUAAUUUUGUUAAAAUAAGUUUCUUGUUGGAGUACAUUAGGUGACUAUUCAUAACGUAUCAAAUUAAAGAGUCAAGUGCAUCAAUGAAGGCAUAUGUAGAAAAUUUGUUUGUGACAUGUACCAUAAAGAUAAGAUUGACUUGAUAGAAUUUAGUCUAAGUAGGAGUUGUUAAAGGUGUCUUAAAUUUCUAAUUGAUGUAUAUUUUUUUCUAAAAAAAUAUUAUAUAGAUAUUUUAAUAAAUGAUUAAUUCUUUGUAAAAAUACUUACAUAAUAAAAAACAUCAUUAAAAAUAUCUUUAUAAAUAUUUUAAGUUACAAGAAGGAAAAAAACCACUGUGAGAUAAUGAUGAACAUGCAACACUGUACCAAGUAAAUAAAAAUGUGAUAAAAAAAAAAGAGAAACACUCGAUAAAGGAAGGCUCGUAUAUAAAGAGUAAUAUUUUUAAUCAUAUGAUAGAAUGAUUUUCUCUCAUUCAUGAAUAUAGGCAAGAUUGGGGAACCAUUAUAAAAUUUUGUACACCUCGUGUAAAUUGAUGUUUGUCUUCAUAUUUUACACCAACAAAUGACAUUGAAGUUGUCAUUGAUAAAAGGGAAAAGGCAUGCCUCCACACCAUGUGCUUGAUUCGAAUGGUUCAAGUUUGAAGAAUUUUCUCCGGAAGAUCUAAAACAUUUUCGCCUUUAAAUUUCAUUUGAUUAUUAAUAUCCGAAAAAAUAGUUAAAUACUCUUUCUAUUUUUGAGUUGUUGAAUUUUUUGAAAGUUUUUAUAUUUGUUAUCAAGAAUUUCUAUUUUAUUAAGGGUGAAUAUUUAUAAAUAAGAUAUUAUAUAAUAUUUGGAUAAGAGAGAAUGGUGGAAUAUAAUAAAGUUUUAAUCCUUCCCAAUUUUGAACCUUUUUUUUUUUUUUUGAUAUAAUCGCCUUUCUCUUGCAAUCCUAUUAUCAGGUACCUUAUAUUUGCUGAUGCUAUCUGGAACUAAAUUCCAAUCAGGCAUUGUCCAAUUACUAAUAGGACAGAUCAUAUCUCUCUGUUUCUAAACUAACAUGUAUCGUAAUGUGACCUCAUAAGGAAGGCUAGGAAGAUGGAGGAUUUUGUGGGAAGCGACCAGAAUCAGAUGGAAGAGAGAUAGCCCUGUUGACCUAAUGGCUGUAAUAGGAGAAGCGUGUGGUUUUAUGGGACUUAACUGAUACUAAACCUGUAUGAUGCUUGGAGUGGUGUUUCUUUCAUUUUGUUAAGAAAAUAUGGCAGCAUACAUGCUUUCAACUGAGUGCAUCAGAGCAUCCAUAACAGAUGGUCUGCAACCCUAGGUGCAUGCCACUUUCUGACUGAUAAUGAAAUUGUCAGGUACCUGGCCUUGACUAAGCUCAACAGCAUCACAUAAAGAGAAGCUUUCAUACUUAGAUUACUGUUUAAAGUUUUUGCUUAUUUGAUUUCUUAAUGCCAUUAUGACAUUAUUGAUUCAAUUCUGCUUCCGAUUUUCGAAGUUCUGGGCAUCUACUGAUUGCAUCAUUAUAUGAGAAGUUGCAUGAGUUUAUGUAUCCUGUUAUUGUUCCUUUGCGAUUUCACUGCUCACGGGACUAACCUCUCCAUUCAGUCGAAAUGAAUUGUAAUUUCUUUACUGGUAGCAGUAGUACUUUUCAUAGCAAAGAUAAUAGAAAAUAUGAAAUAUAAAUAGAAGGAAAUCUGGAUUGUAGAUAGCACCAUAAGUAACACUCAAUAUUCACUACAUAAUAAAUAGACAGUGUUACAUAGGUAGAGAAACCUACAAUGAGUACUCAUCACCAUUCUCAAACAGAAACAUAGCAGCGACUUAUACAUAGAACCUAUAGGCUCGCAGGGAAAGAGUAACAUGAUAAGUUCACAGCGGGUAGCAGCUCUUAUUUUACGUAUUACUCAAAAUCUCAAACUAACCAAAGUCACUCAGUUGGGAUGGGUAGGAGAUGGUGGUUUGUGGGGUGGCUUCUGGGUAGGAGCUGGUGGCUUCUUUGUUGGAGUUGAAGGAGGCAUAUUCUUCUGAGGUGGCUUGUAUGACUCUUCGGCACUCUCUGCAGGAGGGUGCCCAGGGUUGUGACCAGAAGGAGGUGGCUUCUGUCCCUUUGGUGGUUUGCCUAAUGGGCUUGGUGGCUUGUGCUCCGGGAGUUGUUUCUCUCCCUCGAGUAGGUUUCGAGUUUUGUCAGAUGGCUUGUGUUCUGGUGGUGGCUUCUCUCCCUGGGGUGGUUUGCCGAAUGGGCUUGGUGGCUUGUGUUCGGGGAGUGGCUUCUCUCCCUGGAGAAGGUUACGAGUUUUGUCAGAUGGCUUUUGUUCUGGUGGCGGCUUCUCUCCCUGGGGUGGUUUGCCAAAUGGGCUUGGUGGCUUGUGUUCGGGAACUGGCUUCUCUCCCUUGGGAGGUUCAUUUGGUGGCUGGUGUUCCGUAGGUGGUUCCUUCACCGGCGGCUUGUGCUCCGGAAGCGGCUUCUCUACCUGGAGAAGCUUACGAGUUUUGUCAGAUGGCUUGUGUUGUGGUGGUGGCUUCUCUCCCGGGGGUGGUUUGCCAAAUGGACUUGGUGGCUUGUGUUCGGGGAGUGGCUUCUCUCCAUGGGGAGGUUUAGUUGGUGGUUGGUGUUGCGUAGGUGGUUUCUGAAGUGGGGGAUGCUUGGGGUAGUCAGCAAUAGACGAGGUAGUGAGAACCACCAGUCCCAACAGCAACACUAGCAAGGAUGUUGAAGACAUCUUUGAGUUCAGGCUGAGAUCUGUGCAAGGAUAAAAGAUUUAGGUGGCCUUUUAUAGAGGGCUGGACCCAACACCCAUAUGACACGUGUCAUGCACUCAUGGUGACACAUAAUUCUAUGGGACCAUUUGGGUCCUACAGAAGUUGCAAAGUUGGACUAUUGAGGUGUGAUCACAACUUUUGUCCUACUUGCUUUCUCUGCGGCCAUUGCACGAUUUCCUUUAGCAUCAUUUUCUUGUCUAAAUAAGCGUAUUAUAUUUGUGGCAGACCGUCCACGUGUCAUAAACAGAUAUAUUAUAAUAAUGUAGUAUGCUUUUCUUCAACGGAACUUGACACUCUUCUAAGUCUUGUUUUAAAUACUGUGCAGGAUUACGUCAUAAGUUGCUUGUUCCAAGUCAAAAUUGGUGGGCAAACGUUGGCCUUUUUUCAUUUUCCCUAAUAUUAAUGCUCACCUGGGAUAGGCACUACAUGAUUUAUCUGCUCUUUUACUGUGAAGUUGCUUUGUGCAUGAGUUACACCUCCCCUGCACACCCUCAACAUUUGUUGCUCUGUUUUUCUUGUGUCCAGACGAGGAUAUUAAUUGGAGGCUGACAAAACGACUGCUAGCCAAGGAUUUACAAGGUCCUGGUUUGAGGCUUUCACGAAAGUAUUUUUGAAAAGAUACACAUAGAGAUUGCGCGUUCGGUGCAAUGCAACAAUGUGAGCCAUUCUGAAGUCUUAAAUUUCAGAUUAAUGAAUGCUACAAAAUUCUAAGAAGGGCCGUUUCCAAAUAUUUGAGUUCAUUCAUCCGAACAUCGGGUAUAUGCUUCUUUCUCUAGCCCCUCCUUGAAGGGAGGAGGGACAAUGUGAUCUGUAUCGUUAGAAGCUAUUCCAUGUCGUCAUCUUUGGGCUCAGUUCAAUACUAAAAGAUAUGGGCGGGGCCCUUAUCAUUUUAUAUUUCUUCUAGAAGGUUUAUUCUGGAAAUCUUUCACAGAAACAUAUCUUUUUCUUCUCUACGUGAUCCGUGGUUUGAAAGUUGGAAAAAUGGGUCCGUUAACAAGCCACCGAGUUGAAAAGUUGGAAAAAUGGCAACACCGCCAACCUCUUGUAUUCGAUAGUUAAAUAAAAGGUCACUGGAAGUGAGAUCCCUUUUGGCCUCUUGAUUUUCAUUCCAGCAUCUCUAUGGCCUGAUAAAUUAAAAAACUAAAAAAAAAGACAGUACGUGGGUUGGUGUUAAGCAUCAAGAGUCAAGACAUGAUAAUGGAGAGAAAGGAUAUUCAAAUUCCAGUUCUGACAACAUGAUUUUCUUUGCUGAACUACCAUAUUAUAUUUGAUCAAGAAAGAGUAGUGCAUGUGGCCAGGAUCAAGACAUACAUUAAUUUCCACAUGAUGAAGACAGUUUCUGAGAGUUUCUUCUAAAGCUCUUGCGCGAGUAGGCUUCAAGUCAAAAUCUCCCAUGUAAACACUGGUUUUUCUUUCAUUGCCACUAAGGAUGCAGUUAAUAUUGACUUAAGAUCCUACGUGAUAUAUUUUUUUAAAAGAGCUAUAUUGUAGAUAAUAUUUGAAAUAAUGUUGAUUCGUUGUGGAAAUAUAUUUGUAAGGAAAGUUGUUGACAAUUUAAUAUAGUAUAAGAAGAAAAAAGUUAUCAACUAGCUAGAGAUGAGUAUGUAAAGUGAGGCUCACGAUUCAACGCGUAAAUAUAAGAUAUUUUAAGGCUCAAUAGUUAUGAUAUCUAUUUUAUUUUUUGUAUCUCAUAUAUUCAAAGAUAUAGUAAAAUGAUUUUACAUAUAUAUAUAUAUAUAUAUAUGAACAUAACUAUUUGUGCCAAUUGAUUUUUAUCUUUAUUUUGUAUAUUAGUAAUUAUAUUAAAGUUUUUACUAAUAUAAUAACUAAUAUAAAAGCUUUUUCUAAAAGAGUCAACAGAGCAAAACACUUAUUAUAAAAAAUAAUUUUGAUUGAAGGUGGAGUCAAUUAUUCUUUAUUUAACAUGUAAUGCAUACGGCGUGUACUUCAUAACUAAAGUAUAUAAGUGUAACAUCUCUUAUAUAUUCUCAUUCAAUCUCGAAAGUGGAAAUUUUAAAAAGAUUAAACGGUUCAAAUUUGUCGUGCAUAAAGGGGAUCAUGUCACAUAAGCAAACCAUGGCAUACCAAAGACAUAGGUAUGGACUAAGAAUUUUUUUCAAAUAAGUUUCUUAUUAGGGUACAUUAAUAGGUGACUUUUUAUGACAUAUCAAAGGAGUCAAGUGCACCAAUAAAAACAUAUAUAGAAAAUUCAUGCAUGACAUGUAUCACUAAGAGAAGAUUGACUUGAUAGAGUUUAAUCCAAAUAGGAGAUUGUUAAAAGGUGUCUCAAAUUCUUGAUUGAUAUAUAUUUUUUUUAUUAAAAAGGUUAUUAUAUAGAUAUUUCAAUAGACUAUUAAUUCUUUGUAAAAAUAGUUAUAUAAUGAGGAUGGUGAUUAAAAAUAUCUCUAUCAAUAUUUUGGAUUAUAAAAAGAAAAAAAAUGAGAUAAUGAUAAACAUAUAAAACUUGUACAAGUAGAUAAAGAUGUGAUGAAAGACACUUGAUGAAUGAAGGCUUUGUAUUUCAAGAUAUAAAUAUAUGGAGCAAAACUCUUAAUUAUAUGAUCAAAUGAUUCUCUCAUAUUCAUGAAUAUAAGCAGGAUUGGGGAACCAUGAUAGAAUCUUAUAUGCCUCUCCAUGUAGAGUGAUCGAUGUUUAUCUUCAUAUUUUACACCAGUGAAUGACAUUGAAACUCUUAUUGAUAAAAGGGAAAAGGCAUGGCCUCCACCCCAAGAAAAACAAGUAACCUCGGUUUAAAUCACUAGUCUACACCCCGAAGAGAGAACUAGCCAAACCUACUAAAAGAGAAACUUAACAAUUUAGAAAGAAACCGUCCAUGAUAAAGGGCCCCUAAAGGUCCAAUUCAGUGAGGUCGUGAACAAAAACACUUUCAUGUCAAAACAGAGAUAGGUACCACCAAAAUGUAAAGGGAAAGAUGUAAACCACGUCGAACUUUGGUAAUCAAUGGUAAAGAUAGCAUGAUAGCUAAAAGCACUAAAGCUGUGCUUGGUAUGCAAAAAUGAAAAGUGGAAAUCAGCGUCUUAUUCUUUUUCACCUUUAUUCACAUAUUAGGAUAACUAAUAUCUAAUGUUUUUUAUGUCUCAAAUUCUAUUCCAUGUUAUGGUAAACUUUCAUCUUGUUUAGAUCACUUUUGUCUGGUUUGGGCUCAAGACGAUAAGCCUAUAGAGACUUCAUAUUGGGUUGAAUCGAUGCCCUUGAUCUGAUCUGUUCGUUAGAAAAAUCUGAAUUAUUAUAAGCAUUUAGAUAAAAAAUAAAUAAAUGUGAAACACAAACUACUCCCUGCACAACCUUGACCCUAGUUACUCAGUUUCACUGCUCACAGGACUAACCUCUCCAUUCAGUCGAAAUGAAUUGUAACAAGAAGAUUUUUGACAGGAGGACGGUAGUUUAAAAUAAUAAUUUCUAAAGUACUUUUGUGAAAAAAAAUAAUUCCAAACGUGGAUUUUAUCAAGUAAAAAGAAAAAAAAAAGUUAUUUUCUUUUAAAAUCUGUUCUUCUAAAGAUGAUAUAUAUACCAAAAAAAAAAAUUGUUUUCUGAAGGUAAAAUUUUUAAAAUUCAUUUUUAAAAAAAUUUACACACUAAAAUUAUCUUUUCAAGAGAAGAUUUUUUUAAUUUUAAAUAAUUAUUAAUUUAUAAUUAAUUUGUUAUUAAUUAUUUAUUAAUUUUUUUAUUUGAAAAAUGCAUUUAUAAAAAACAAAUUUGUUAUUAAUUUAUUAAAUAAUUUUUACAAAAUAAAUAAUUUUUUUUUAUUUUAAUUUUAAAAUUAAUUUUAUUAUAUAAAUUUUAAAAUUAAAAAUAUUAAUAUUUAAUUUAAAAUUUAACUAUAAAAGGAAUAAAAUAUAGAAAAAUAAAUUAAUUUAUUAUUCAAUAAAUUAAUUUUCAAUAAAAUUUUCAGCAUUAAGAGAUAAAUUUUUAAGUAUUAAUCAAUUUAAAAAGAAAUAAUGAUCAUUUGUAUAUUAAGAUAUUUUAUUUAGUAAUUAUGAAUGAUAAACAACUAAAGUAAUUUGAAAAAAUAAUAAAAUAUUUAAAAAAUAAUAAUUUAAUACACGUAAAAUUAGAAAUGAUUAACUAUUUUUUAUUAAGAAAAAAUUGAGGAAAUAUUUUGUUAUUUAAAAUUUUUUAUUUGUUUUCAAUUUUUAAUGUUAUAGGUUUCAAGAAAAUUGAUCAAAUAAAAAUUAAGAAGUCAUUUUUUCAAAAACUAUAUAUCUAAAUAAAAGCCUUGAAAUUCAAAUACACAAUAUCAUAAAUAUAAACACCAAGUCAAUCCUUAAUUAUCAAAUGUUUUUAAUAUUAAAGAAUCAAAAUCACCUACUAUCAUGAUAAUAAGAAAACCAAUAAUAUUGUUCAUAUAAAUACUAAAAAGCUAACAAAUAUCCCAAACAAUUAAUAAAGUAUCAAACAUGAUAAAAAGUCAAUUAUUAUCAUGAAUGCAAAAAAUCAAUAAUUUUGUUUAUAUGAACCAUCAACAAAGAAAAAAAAAAUCAAUAUCUAAAUAUUAAACAUAAUUUAUAUUUUUAUAAAUAUUAUUGUUGAUAAAUAUCUUAACAAUUAUAAUUUUAGUAAAUAAAAUUAAUUAAUUUUAGUUUAAGAAUUAUUUUUUUAUACUUUCGUAUUCUUAUCAAAAAUCCCCAUUUUGCAUGUCUCCUUUGGCAUGACUUUCUUACCUAAACAAGCAUAUAUAUAUAUAUAUAUAUAUAAAAUAUUUGGUUAAGAAAGAGUACUAAAGUUUAUAUGGCACACAUCAAGAUAGAAACAGAAGUGGAAGAUAAUCCAAAUGUAUGAACAGAUAUAUUAUAUCCAUGUAGUGGUAGUGACUUCAUUAUUUACUUUUAUCUAAUGGAGCAUGACACACUUCUUCUGAAUAUUUUGCACGAUUAUGUUAUGUGUCAGCUUGUUCUAAGUCAAAACUAGUGAUAAAAAUCGGUUUUUUUUGCAUUUCCUUCAUGAAGAUGGCACCUGGAUGGGGCACUACAUGAGUGGCAUAGCACGAAGUGAUUUAUCUGCUCCCUUUACUAUAAAGUGCUUUGUGUAUAAGUUACACCUCCCCUGCACUGCCUCAACAUUUGUUGUUCUGUCUUCCGUCUGUCCAAACGAGGACAAACGUAUGUUGUAGGUUGACAAAACCACAGCUAGCCUAGGAUUUGCAAGGAUCUAGUUUGAUUCGUAUGCAAAAGGAUUGGUGAAAAGAUUCACAAAGAUAAUGCUUUUUGCAAUGCAAUCUUGUUCUAAUUCAACAGUGUGGACCAUUUUCAUGUAAUGCUUCAACUAGAUGUCAGUUUCAUGAAUUUUUGUUCAUCUAAUUGAUCACUGGAUAGGCCAUAACCCGAAGAAAUUCAAAAUUCCCUUCAGUACUGUAGCUAAGGAAAGAUCCCUAUCUACCACUGGGAUUUUAAGAGGGUAAAAAUGUAGGUGGGUGCCUAUAUCAUUUGCACUUCACUAUAGGCCUCUUUGGGAAGAUUUCUUCUGAAGACAUUUCAAAGAAACAUAUUUUUCUCUUCUCUCCGUAAACGGCAGCUGCAAGUCAGUCCAUUCACAGGCCACCGAGUUGAAAAGGCUGGAAAAUUGGCCAAAGCACCCGCCUCCUGGAUUCCAUGGGUAAGGAAAAGGUCACUGGAGGUGUGAUCCCUGUUGGCCUCUUGAUUUCCAUUCCGCCAUCUAUAUGACCUGAUAACCCAAAAACACAGAAGGAAAACGUCACCUGGGUUCAUAGUAAGCAUCAAGUCAUGAUAGAGACCAGACAACAUGACCAACAAAGAGUAGCGAAUGGGGCCAACAUCAAGCCCCAUUACGGUUAGAAGAUGGAAGAAGUAGAAGACAAUCCAAUUCUGAUAGAUUCGGGCAAAUGUAGUGCUGUUCAAACUUAAUCAUUUACUAUUUCUUCAUGAAUCACGGCAUUUUUCUUCUGAAAAUUUUCCAAGAUUAGGCCUCUGAAGAAAAAUUUCAUAUGUAAAUUGGUAUAUUAAGGAAAAGGCGUUACAAAGGUGAAAAAAAACCAAUCAAAUCUUAUAUAUGACAUCUCAAAAAUAUGAACUUGCUAUAAAUAUUUAAAAUCAAAAUCUUGCACAUCACCUCGUAGUACGAACUUGCUAUAAAACUUGAAAAUCAAGAAGAAAGGGGCAGUAUUGGACGAGACUACUUAGCACAUAUUAUUAUGAUGUUUUUUCAUUUUCUUAAUGUUGUUUUUAUGUCUUAAAUUCUAUUAUUCUAUGUUACGGUAAACAUUCAUCUUGUUUGUGUGGAAUAGGAUCACUUUUCUCUGGGUUGAGUCGAUGCCCUUAGUUAAUUUGUUCAUUUGAAUAAACUAAAUUAUUAUAAGUAUUUAGAUAAGAAAAACGUGAUACAUAAAUUACGCCUCUCGGCACAACUUCAACACUGGUUACUCUGUUUCAGUUUCCUCACACAAGAUUAUUGGUUCUAGGGUUUAUUUGGUUUUGGUUUGAUUCUAAUUGCUAAACUUUCUCAAGGAAGAUGUUAUAUAGGGAGUGAGAAACCUUCACUCUUGGCUACCUCCAAGAGAAGAGCAAGUGGUCUGAAUCAAAGAUAUACUGCUCACUUUUUCUUCUUCUAAGGACAGCUAUGACCUUGCUUUAAGGUUCGAAUAGCCUAAUGCAACCUCCCAUUUCUCAAGUCAGCUGAUGAUGUAAGUCACCUUGGCUUUCCACAUUCAUACGGUGAGGACGUUUGUGGGUGUAAUUCUCUUAACAGUUUUCAUUUUAUAUGGAAAAAUUCAUAAUUAAGGGUAAUUACUGAUUCCAUUUGACAGUGACCAAGUUUAAAAUAUUAAUUCAUAUAUUAAAUGCACAUUAAAAAAUCAUGGAAUAAAUAUAUUUACUAAUAUAUAGUUCUUUUGCCAUGUUCUGUCACAGAAGCAUCGAACUUUCCCUAGAAAUUUUUGCAUGGUAUUCUACUUAUGAUUUUGAAAACUCUAGGCACCUGAGGCCACUAAUUGCAUGGUUGGAUGAGGAGCUGCAUGAGAUUAUGUAUCGUGUUGUUCCUUAACUACAAAUAUCAGUUUUAAGUAGCAUCUCCAUGUGACAUUUUCCUGAUGCAAUUUCGCUGUCCACCAACAAAUUUCACCAUGCAGCAAGAUGAAUUGUAAUUUCUUUAUUGUUAUCAACAGCUUUAAUUAAUCUUGAUAUAUAUAUAUAACUUAGUAGAAGUAUAUUAAUCUAGAUUGUAGUUGCACUAAGAUAAUAGGCAAUAUUAUAACAGUGCCACAAUGCUCAUCGCCAAAUAGAAAGGUAGAAAAACUACAAUGAGUAACUCACAACAUUCUCAAACAGGACAUAGCGGCGACUGAUACAUAGAACACUAUUGGCACUCAGGAAAUGAUAAGAUCAGUGCCCAGCAGGCAGCACGUCUUAUUUUACAUACUACUUAAAACUAACCAAAGUCAUUCAGUUGGGAUGGGUGGGAGAUGGUGGUUUGUGCGGUGGCUUUUGGGUAGUUGGUGGCUUCUUUCCUGGAACUGAUGGUUUUUUUGUUGGAGUUGAAGGAGGCUUAAUCGUCUGAGGUGGCUUGUAUGAGUCUUCAGCACUCUCUGCGGGAGGGUGCCCAGGGUUGUGACCAUAAUGGGGUGGCUUCUCUCCCUUAGUUGGUUUGCCAAGUGGGCUGGCUGGCUUGUGCUCCGGGAGCGGCUUCUCUCCCUUAGGUGGUUUGCCAAAUGGGCUUGCUGGCUUGUGCUCUGGGAGCGGCUUCUCUCCCUCAAGAAGUUUACGGGUUUUGUCAGAUGGCUUGUGUUCUGGUGGUGGCUUCUCUCCU
This 25890-nucleotide long non-coding RNA is filed under the name Vitis vinifera (wine grape). Its description in RNAcentral is "long non-coding RNA (VVIN_LNC001392)". The record is from RNAcentral. Lineage: Eukaryota; Viridiplantae; Streptophyta; Magnoliopsida; Vitales; Vitaceae.